This 485-nucleotide ribosomal RNA is filed under the name uncultured Glomus. RNAcentral describes it as "SSU rRNA". It matches the Rfam family "Eukaryotic small subunit ribosomal RNA", at positions 569 to 1059 of the family's 1831-position model. The record is from RNAcentral. Lineage: Eukaryota; Fungi; Glomeromycota; Glomeromycetes; Glomerales; Glomeraceae.
AGCAGCCGCGGUAAUUCCAGCUCCAAUAGCGUAUAUUAAAGUUGUUGCAGUUAAAAAGCUCGUAGUUGAAUUUCGGGACCAAUUUGUUGGUCGUGCCUCGGUACGUACUGGUAUUAUUGGUUUCUCCCUUCUGAAGAACCUCGAUGCCAUUAAUUUGGUGUCGUGGGGAAUCAGGACUGUUACUUUGAAAAAAUUAGAGUGUUUAAAGCAAGCAUACGCUUGAAUACAUUAGCAUGGAAUAAUGAAAUAGGACGUUUGAUUCUAUUUUGUUGGUUUCUAGGAUCGACGUAAUGAUUAAUAGGGAUAGUUGGGGGCAUUAGUAUUCAAUUGUCAGAGGUGAAAUUCUUGGAUUUAUUGAAGACUAACUACUGCGAAAGCAUUUGCCAAGGAUGUUUUCAUUAAUCAAGAACGAAAGUUAGGGGAUCGAAGACGAUCAGAUACCGUCGUAGUCUUAACCAUAAACUAUGCCGACUAGGGAUCGGAUG